GGCCUAACACAUGCAAGUCGAGCGGUAGCACAGGGAGCUUGCUCCUGGGUGACGAGCGGCGGACGGGUGAGUAAUGUCUGGGAAACUGCCUGAUGGAGGGGGAUAACUACUGGAAACGGUAGCUAAUACCGCAUAACGUCUUCGGACCAAAGAGGGGGACCUUCGGGCCUCUUGCCAUCAGAUGUGCCCAGAUGGGAUUAGCUAGUAGGUGAGGUAAUGGCUCACCUAGGCGACGAUCCCUAGCUGGUCUGAGAGGAUGACCAGCCACACUGGAACUGAGACACGGUCCAGACUCCUACGGGAGGCAGCAGUGGGGAAUAUUGCACAAUGGGCGCAAGCCUGAUGCAGCCAUGCCGCGUGUGUGAAGAAGGCCUUCGGGUUGUAAAGCACUUUCAGCGAGGAGGAAGGGCAGUGUGUUAAUAGCACAUUGCAUUGACGUUACUCGCAGAA
Molecule: ribosomal RNA, 450 nt
Filed under: uncultured Gammaproteobacteria bacterium
Lineage: Bacteria; Pseudomonadati; Pseudomonadota; Gammaproteobacteria
Description: bacterial SSU rRNA
Rfam family: Bacterial small subunit ribosomal RNA
Source: RNAcentral